UACGGAGGGCGCGAGCGUUAAUCGGAAUUACUGGGCGUAAAGCGCGCGUAGGCUGUUGUGUAAGUUGGGGGUGAAAUCCCACGGCUCAACCGUGGAACAGCCCUUGAUACUGCGCGACUUGAAUCCGGGAGAGGGUGGCGGAAUUUCAGGUGUAGGAGUGAAAUCCGUAGAUAUCUGGAGGAACAUCAGUGGCGAAGGCGGCCACCUGGACCGGUAUUGACGCUGAGGCGCGAAAGCGUGGGGAGCAAACAGG
RNAcentral lists this ribosomal RNA (253 nucleotides) under uncultured bacterium. RNAcentral describes it as "partial 16S ribosomal RNA". It matches the Rfam family "Bacterial small subunit ribosomal RNA", at positions 524 to 776 of the family's 1533-position model. The record is from RNAcentral.